CAUCAUAGGAUCUAUGGAUCCUCCAAGGGUCAAAUGAAAAUGUGGGGGCUGGAGAGAUGCCCUAGCAGUUAUGAGCACCUCUUGCUCUUCCAGAAGACCCAGGUUCAACUGUCAGCACCCACCUGGUAGAAAACAACUGUCAGUAACCUCAGUUCCAAAUCAGCUGAUACCCUCUUCAGUCCACCAAGUUCACAACAUGCAUUUGGUACACAGACGCAUACACACAUACACAUUAAAAAUACAAUAACUUGUUUUUAAAAAUAAAGUAGAUAAACAUGAAAAUGUCUAGAAGAAAGACCAAAUCCAUGAUUGCCUAAUUAAAGCAAGCUUUAUUAAAUACUGGCCGGGAAGAUGGACACUAGCUCCAUCCAUACACAGGGUUCCCAGAGAUGGUGUUGAAUUUUGGUAAUGAGGUGCUUAUAAAGGCAAAACCCACAGGGCUGUGUACAUCCUGCCUUCAUCCAAUCAGGGGCAAGCACACAUUCGGAUGUACUUCCUGACUACAUACCUGCCACCUAUCUGUGAUCAAGCACAUCCUACUCAGUUGAGAAGUUCCAGCGUGAGUUAAGCACCAAGUGGGUGUUGAAUACAGUGAGUACUGGGGCCCAUGUGCUGCUGGGAAAGAUCCUACAGAACCACAUGCUGAACCUCCGCAUCGCCAACUCCAAACUCUUCUGGAGGGCACUGGCCAUGUUGCAGAGGUUUUCUGGACAGUCCAAGGCUCGCUGCAUCGAGAGCCUUCUUCAAGUGAUCCAUUUUCCUCAACCGCUGUCGAUGAUGUCCGCGGUGCCCCCAUCUCCUGCCAUGUCCAGGUUGCCCACGAGAAGGAAAAGGUGAUCCCCACAGCCUUGCUGAGCCUCCUACUCUGGUACUCCAUCACUGAGACUAAGGCACGUCUGGCUGGAGCUUCUUCAGUCUGUGAGGUUGUUAGAAGCGUCCUCUCUGGGCCAGGUCAGAAGCGGAGCACUCAAACCCUUGGAGACCUUACCGCCUGUGGUGCCCUGAAUUGAUGUUUUUGAGACCAUGGAGGGCAGAGUCCCCCUCCAGUUCCCAGGGGACUUGUGCCAGCAAUACAGUUGUGGGGACAAUUUCGGGUGAGUGCGGCACUCACUAACAGCCCAGAAAUGGGAAAGAGUCCUGUUUUCAGCCGGAUCAUUUCAAUUCUUACUGGUGUCUUCUGAUCUCAGAAAUAAAACUGUCUUGUUUUGGAACCUAA
Long non-coding RNA from Grammomys surdaster, 1216 nucleotides. RefSeq lists it as uncharacterized. The transcript is spliced from 4 exons. Lineage: Eukaryota; Metazoa; Chordata; Mammalia; Rodentia; Muridae. The record is from RefSeq and is a predicted model, not a curated record.